This 551-nucleotide ribosomal RNA is filed under the name uncultured bacterium. RNAcentral describes it as "bacterial SSU rRNA". It matches the Rfam family "Bacterial small subunit ribosomal RNA", at positions 355 to 896 of the family's 1533-position model. The record is from RNAcentral.
UAGGGAAUCUUGCGCAAUGGGCAAAUGCCUGACGCAGCGACGCCGCGUGGGCGAUGAAGUUCUUCGGAAUGUAAAGCCCUGUCAGAGGGGAAGAAACUCCUUUAAGGGAAUAUCUUAAAGGACUGACGGUACCCUCAGAGGAAGCUCCGGCCAACUCCGUGCCAGCAGCCGCGGUAAUACGGGGGGAGCAAGCGUUGUUCGGAAUCACUGGGUGUAAAGGGUGCGUAGGUGGGUAGGCAAGUCAGAUGUGAAAAUCUUAGGCUUAACUUAAGACCUGCAUUUGAAACUGCCUGUCUUGAGUACGGGAGAAGGAAGUGGAAUUCCUGGUGUAGCGGUGAAAUGCGUAGAUAUCAGGAGGAACACCUGCGGCGUAGGCGGCUUCCUAGUCCGAUACUGACACUGAGGCACUAAAGCUAGGGGAGCAAACAGGAUUAGAUACCCUGGUAGUCCUAGCUAUAAACGUUGGGCACUAGGUGUUGGAGGUAUUGACCCCUUCAGUGCCGAAGCUAACGCAUUAAGUGCCCCACCUGGGGAGUACGGUCGCAAGGCUG